UGGGGAAUAUUGCACAAUGGGGGAAACCCUGAUGCAGCGACGCCGCGUGGAGGAAGAAGGUUUUCGGAUUGUAAACUAUUGUCGUUAGGGAAGAUAAAAGACAGUACCUAAGGAGGAAGCUCCGGCUAACUACGUGCCAGCAGCCGCGGUAAUACGUAGGGAGCAAGCGUUAUCCGGAUUUAUUGGGUGUAAAGGGUGCGUAGACGGGAAAUUAAGUUAGUUGUGAAAUCCCUCGGCUCAACUGAGGAACUGCAACUAAAACUGUUUUUCUUGAGUAGUGCAGAGGUAGGCGGAAUUCCCGGUGUAGCGGUGGAAUGCGUAGAUAUCGGGAGGAACACCAGUGGCGAAGGCGGCCUACUGGGCACCAACUGACGCUGAGGCUCGAAAGUGUGGGUAGCAAACAGGAUUAGAUACCCUGGUAGUCCACACUGUAAACGAUGAUUACUAGGUGUUGGAGGAUUGACCCCUUCAGUGCCGCAGUUAACACAAUAAGUAAUCCACCUGGGGAGUACGACCGCAAGGUUGAAACUCAAAGGAAUUGACGGGGGCCCGCACAAGCAGUGGAGUAUGUGGUUUAAUUCGACGCAACGCGAAGAACCUUACCAAGUCUUGACAUCCCUUGACGAUGCUGGAAACAGUAUUUCUCUUCGGAGCAAGGAGACAGGUGGUGCAUGGUUGUCGUCAGCUCGUGUCGUGAGAUGUUGGGUUAAGUCCCGCAACGAGCGCAACCCUUAUGGUCAGUUACUACGCAAGAGGACUCUGGCCAGACUGCCGUUGACAAAACGGAGGAAGGUGGGGAUGACGUCAAAUCAUCAUGCCCCUUAUGACCAGGGCUACACACGUGCUACAAUGGCGUAAACAAAGAGAAGCGAACUCGCGAGGGUAAGCAAAUCUCAAAAAUAACGUCUCAGUUCGGAUUGUAGUCUGCAACUCGACUACAUGAAGCUGGAAUCGCUAGUAAUCGCAGAUCAGAAUGCUGCGGUGAAUACGUUCCC
This 995-nucleotide ribosomal RNA is filed under the name uncultured bacterium. RNAcentral describes it as "bacterial SSU rRNA". It matches the Rfam family "Bacterial small subunit ribosomal RNA", at positions 355 to 1375 of the family's 1533-position model. The record is from RNAcentral.